This 180-nucleotide unclassified non-coding RNA is filed under the name uncultured fungus. RNAcentral's name for it is "sequence contains ITS1". Lineage: Eukaryota; Fungi. The record is from RNAcentral.
UUGACUUGUUUUGGUAUACUCGGAGACACAACGCUGCAGAGACAGAGUAGGGGGCCGCCGGCGGGCUUGGUGCCCGGCGCGAGGCCGGGCGCCCGCCGAGGCAACGUCGGGUAGGUUCACAGUGGGUUAGGAGUCUUGCGAGUUCCUGUAAUGAUCCCUCCGCUGGUUCACCAACGGAGA